AUGUUGUUCAAGAAAGGAUUGUUUACAUCUAAGCAGACUACUUUGAUGCAAUAUGGGUUUGUAAAUAACCUGUCAGCAACAUUAUCUGUUAUUACCUUCUUGAAGCUAGCAACAUGGUGUUCCUUUUAUUGGCCCAUAUUUAUUCUUAUAGCCUUUGGUUCUUCACUUGUGCCAACUGAUUUCUUAUCUUCAACCUCUGCUUAUUUGCAUAUGUCCUUAAUGUUGCUUCCUUUUCCUGGAGAGGCUAGACUUCAUAUUUUUUUGCCACUACAACAAUAUUUUUUUUACUAUGUAGUGAAAUAA
Molecule: ribosomal RNA, 303 nt
Filed under: Triticum aestivum (bread wheat)
Lineage: Eukaryota; Viridiplantae; Streptophyta; Magnoliopsida; Poales; Poaceae
Description: partial small subunit ribosomal RNA
Source: RNAcentral